UCGGGAAUUUUGGGCAAUGGGCGAAAGCCUGACCCAGCAACGCCGCGUGAGGGAUGAAGUAUUUCGGUAUGUAAACCUCGAAAGAAUGGGAAGAAUAAAUGACGGUACCAUCUAUAAGCUCCGGCUAACUACGUGCCAGCAGCCGCGGUAAUACGUAGGGAGCAAGCGUUGUUCGGAUUUACUGGGCGUAAAGGGCGCGUAGGCGGCGCGGUAAGUCACUUGUGAAAUCUCUGAGCUUAACUCAGAACGGCCAAGUGAUACUGCUGUGCUAGAGUGCGGAAGAGGCAACCGGAAUUCUUGGUGUAGCGGUGGAAUGCGUAGAUAGCAAGAGGAACACCUGAGGCGAAGGCGGGUUGCUGGGCCGACACUGACGCUGAUGCGCGAAAGCCAGGGGAGCAAACG
Molecule: ribosomal RNA, 402 nt
Filed under: uncultured bacterium
Lineage: Bacteria
Description: bacterial SSU rRNA
Rfam family: Bacterial small subunit ribosomal RNA
Source: RNAcentral